CUCGUCUGAGGGGACGCGAGGACUGUCCUCGCUGCCGUCGUGGGCAGUGUCUGGCCUGGCCCUGACAAGCGAGCGGGAGGAGCGCCUGAGAGCCCGAGCCGGAGCCCGGCGAGCGCAGCUGCAGCUCCCGCCUCGCCGUCCCGGGGGAGGGGGCGUCUCGCCUCGCACCCCGCCUCUGGACUUGCCCCCUUUCUCUGCGCGUGCGGACCGAGCCAGCGCUUAGGCCGGAGCGAGCCCGGGAGCCGCCGGCCGGGAAGGCACCGCGGGCACCGAUUCGCCAUG
This 282-nucleotide non-coding RNA is filed under the name Mesocricetus auratus (golden hamster). RNAcentral describes it as "HIF-1 alpha IRES". It matches the Rfam family "HIF-1 alpha IRES". From Rfam's summary of the family: This family represents the hypoxia-inducible factor 1-alpha internal ribosome entry site. HIF-1a is a subunit of the HIF-1 transcription factor, which induces transcription of several genes involved in the cellular response to hypoxia. Lineage: Eukaryota; Metazoa; Chordata; Mammalia; Rodentia; Cricetidae. The record is from Rfam by way of RNAcentral.